UCUUUACCUAUUUAUAUGGGACGUCCUAUAUGGAUAAGGGGUUGGAUUUUGGAUGAAAAUCAGAGAUAUUUAGUGUGUGAUAAGAGAGAAAAAAUUUAAAAAAAAUUGAGAAAAAGAUAAGAAAAAAAUUGAGAGGAAAAGUUGUAAGAAGGGUGGUGAGAAAAAUAGCAAGUGUUGCUACCUUAUCCUAGGGUUUGAUUUUUUUCAUGUGUUGGAGUACAAAAUUAAAUCCUAGGUUGUGAAAUUUUUGGAGAAAAUUCUCUUAGUGGGAUCUUGA
This 277-nucleotide long non-coding RNA is filed under the name Elaeis guineensis (African oil palm). RNAcentral describes it as "long non-coding RNA (EGUI_LNC058562)". The record is from RNAcentral. Lineage: Eukaryota; Viridiplantae; Streptophyta; Magnoliopsida; Arecales; Arecaceae.